RNAcentral lists this ribosomal RNA (420 nucleotides) under uncultured soil bacterium. RNAcentral describes it as "bacterial SSU rRNA". It matches the Rfam family "Bacterial small subunit ribosomal RNA", at positions 27 to 435 of the family's 1533-position model. The record is from RNAcentral.
GGGACGAACGCUGGCGGCGUGCUUAACACAUGCAAGUCGAGCGGUAAGGCCCUUUCGGGGGUACACGAGCGGCGAACGGGUGAAUAACACGUGAGCAAUCUGCCCUUCACUUCGGGAUAAGCCUCGGAAACGGGGUCUAAUACCGGAUAUGACUGCGCCAUGCAUGUGGUGUGGUGGAAAGUUCUGGCGGUGAGGGAUGAGCUCGCGGCCUAUCAGCUUGUUGGUGGGGUAAUGGCCUACCAAGGCUUCGACGGGUAGCCGGCCUGAGAGGGUGACCGGCCACACUGGGACUGAGACACGGCCCAGACUCCGUACGGGAGGCAGCGAGUGGGGAAUAGUUAGGACAAGUGGGACGAAAGCCUAGAUCCAGACAACGCCGCGUGAGGAUCGGACGGUCCGUUACGGGUUCGUAAACCGUUC